CCAGUUCCGAACCCGUCGG
RNAcentral lists this small nuclear RNA (19 nucleotides) under Arabidopsis thaliana (thale cress). Its description in RNAcentral is "snRNA_12185". The record is from RNAcentral. Lineage: Eukaryota; Viridiplantae; Streptophyta; Magnoliopsida; Brassicales; Brassicaceae.